AGAGGUAAUGAGCACCGGUGGGGAUGUGAUAAGAAUAGGAUCCAGAUAUCCGGAUAGAACCGCAGAAACCAGAUCUAUUUCACUCACCCAAGGCAAGGAACUUUGGUUAGAAAAAGACUUAAAGUUGUUUGAUCCUGCUGGAACUACACAUACCACACGGUCAUUUCCAUUUUUCUCCGAGACCAUUUCAGAAGAAGAAAUGUUGGCACCCCCAACUUCCAGUAAGGACUGCAACCUGCCCUCAAAUUUAUACUUGUUUUCUGGUUCCAGCAAAAAAGCAUAUCCUUUCAAACAACACUCACGGGAUUGAGGAUCUACCACUUGCACGGAAACUCCUUCCAGCAUCAACUUUGGUGCAUGAGAACUGUGGCUUGGAAUAUCGGUGCAAAUAUUUUUUCCUGCAAUUAGCUCGACCCAGCUAUACUGAACCAAGGGUUUUCUAGCGACAAUAGCAUCAAUCAGGUCAUCACUCAGAGGAAAGGAGUCAUCUACAAGCACAUGUGAGCAAUCCAAACUCCACUUCUUAGUUAUACUUGCACCUAUUGAUGAAACCUUCUUUGUAAUAAGUUGAUUUGUUU
This 578-nucleotide unclassified non-coding RNA is filed under the name Hevea brasiliensis (rubber tree). Lineage: Eukaryota; Viridiplantae; Streptophyta; Magnoliopsida; Malpighiales; Euphorbiaceae. The record is from RNAcentral.